RNAcentral lists this ribosomal RNA (253 nucleotides) under uncultured bacterium. Its description in RNAcentral is "partial 16S ribosomal RNA". It matches the Rfam family "Bacterial small subunit ribosomal RNA", at positions 524 to 776 of the family's 1533-position model. The record is from RNAcentral.
UACGUAGGGGGCUAGCGUUGUCCGAAAUCAUUGGGCGUAAAGAGCGCGUAGGCGGCUGGAAUAGUCCGGUGUGAAAUCCACAGGCUUAACCUGUGAAUGCCGCUGGAAACUGUCUGGCUAGAGUCCGGAAGGGGCGAGUGGAAUUCCUGGUGUAGCAGUGAAAUGCGUAGAUAUCAGGAGGAAUACCGAUGGCGAAGGCAGGUCUCUGGGCUGACACUGACGCUCAUGCACGAAAGCGUGGGGAGCAAACAGG